Molecule: ribosomal RNA, 520 nt
Filed under: uncultured Glomeromycotina
Lineage: Eukaryota; Fungi; Glomeromycota
Description: SSU rRNA
Rfam family: Eukaryotic small subunit ribosomal RNA
Source: RNAcentral
AGCAGCCGCGGUAAUUCCAGCUCCAAUAGCGUAUAUUAAAGUUGUUGCAGUUAAAAAGCUCGUAGUUGAACUUCAGGCCUGGCUGGACGGUCCGCCUUCCGGGUGAGUACUGUCUGUGGUCGGGUCCUACCUUCUGGCGAAGCGUCAUGGCCUUAACCGGCCGUGGCGGGGAACCAGGACUUUUACUGUGAAAAAAUUAGAGUGUUCAAAGCAGGCAAUUCGCUUGGAUACAUUAGCAUGGAGUAAUGGAAUAGGACAAUUGUUCUAUUUGUUGGUUUCUAGGACUGUUGUAAUGAUUAAUAGGGAUAGUUGGGGGCAUUAGUAUUCAAUUGUCAGAGGUGAAAUUCUUGGAUUUAUUGAAGACUAACUACUGCGAAAGCAUUUGCCAAGGAUGUUUUCAUUAAUCAAGAACGAAAGUUAGGGGAUCGAAGACGAUCAGAUACCGUCGUAGUCUUAACCAUAAACUAUGCCGACUAGGAAUCGGGCGAUGUUGACAAAAUGAACGUCGCUCGGCACCUCA